Cucurbita maxima (winter squash) is the source of this 119-nucleotide long non-coding RNA. RefSeq lists it as uncharacterized. Lineage: Eukaryota; Viridiplantae; Streptophyta; Magnoliopsida; Cucurbitales; Cucurbitaceae. The record is from RefSeq and is a predicted model, not a curated record. The transcript is spliced from 3 exons.
UGGUGAGCACCGAUUGGCUCGUCCCUUCUGUCGGUGAUGCGCUCCUGGCCUUAACUGGCCUGGUCGUGCCUCCGGCGCUGUUACUUUUUAGAAAUUAGAGUGCCCAAAGCAAAGCCAUG